AUUGAACGCUGGCGGAAUGCCUAACACAUGCAAGUCGAGCGGGGUAGCAAUACCCAGCGGCGGACGGGUGAGGAAUACAUAGGAAUUCGCCUUUAGGUGGGGGAUGGCUUGGGGAAACUCAAGGUAAUACCGCAUGAUCUCGCAAGAGCAAAGUGGGGGACCGCAAGGGCUCACGCCUUUAGAUAAGCCUAUGUCUGAUUAGCUUGUUGGUGAGGUAACGGCUCACCAAGGCGACGGUCAGUAACUGGUCUGAGAGGACGAUCAGUCACACCGGAACUGAGACACGGUCCGGACUCCUACGGGAGGCAGCAGUGGGGAAUAUUGGACAAUGGGCGCAAGCCUGAUCCAGCAAUUCCGCGUGUGUGAAGAAGGCCUUCGGGUUGUAAAGCACUUUAGGUUGGGAAGAAAAAGCUUCGGCGAAUAUCCGGAGUGUUGACGGUACCAACAGAAUAAGCACCGGCUAACUCUGUGCCAGCAGCCGCCGUAA
This 487-nucleotide ribosomal RNA is filed under the name uncultured bacterium. RNAcentral describes it as "partial 16S ribosomal RNA". It matches the Rfam family "Bacterial small subunit ribosomal RNA", at positions 30 to 523 of the family's 1533-position model. The record is from RNAcentral.